RNAcentral lists this non-coding RNA (101 nucleotides) under Companilactobacillus nodensis. Its description in RNAcentral is "Lactobacillus nodensis THF-I sequence". It matches the Rfam family "THF (Tetrahydrofolate) riboswitch aptamer". From Rfam's summary of the family: THF riboswitch presents a pseudoknot that joins P1-P2 and the loop of P3 and two THF binding. The record is from RNAcentral. Lineage: Bacteria; Bacillati; Bacillota; Bacilli; Lactobacillales; Lactobacillaceae.
GACAGAGUAGUUGGCAGAGCGUUAAGUGUCGGAAAGACGGAAUGUGCUUCCCGGACGAAAAAUGACAAUCCAUUUGCGGUUUUGCCAACGCAUUCGCUGCA